UCUGAGAGUAACUGUUCAGGUAUUGACGGUAUUUAACCAGAAAGCCACGGCUAACUACGUGCCAGCAGCCGCGGUAAUACGUAGGUGGCAAGCGUUGUCCGGAUUUAUUGGGCGUAAAGCGAGCGCAGGCGGUUUUUAAGGUUCUUGAUGUGAAAGACCUUCGGCUCAACCGAAGAAGUAGCAUCGGAAACUGGGAAACUUAGAGUGCAGAAGAGGACAGUGGAACUCCAUGUGUAGCGGUGAAAUGCGUAGAUAUAUGGAAGAACACCAGUGGCGAAGGCGGCUGUCUGGUCUGUAACUGACGCUGAGGCUCGAAAGUAUGGGUAGCAAACAGGAUUAGAUACCCUGGUAG
Molecule: ribosomal RNA, 352 nt
Filed under: uncultured bacterium
Lineage: Bacteria
Description: bacterial SSU rRNA
Rfam family: Bacterial small subunit ribosomal RNA
Source: RNAcentral